UAAAUAUUUAUCCAUCGUUCCGUAAAUUUUGAAUUUUUUUACAGUUUUAUUAAUUUUUUCUCUAGCUUAAUUAUUUUUUUCUGCGAUUCCGUUCCGUGAUUAAACGAUGGUUAGCUUUAAUACUACAUGUUACCAUAGUCUUUCUCGUUGCAACUCUUCUCAAAAUCUCAAAAGGGGUUAUACUCAAGGGGGUGUAUUGAACCAAGAAUUUUAGGAGAUUGUAAGAUUUGAUUAAAAUCCCCGGUUAUUCAAGUAGUGAUUUUGAUUUUUCUUUUUAAAUCCUCUGUUAUUCAACAUGGAGUUUGUGUAAAGUUAUUAAAUAUCAUUUGAAAUCUCCUGUUAUUCAAUUAACAACUUAUAAAAACUAUCCCAGAUCUAGUGUUAUUAAAAGCUAAACAGUAUUUAGAGAAAACAAAUUGUAAAGAGGAUUUGAGAAUACUUUACGUCAUUUUCUAGUCAGAAACAACACCCAUAGAAUAACAUAUCUACAGAUGUUAUUUGAGAGAACUGAAAGAAAAAAAAAGCAUUGCCUUGCCGUAAAAAAAACUCCUUCAUCUCUUGCAUCACGCAUAUUGUCGAGUAAGCCACCGUGGAGAAUGGGAUGAAGAGAGUGAUGGUGAGUUCGUGGAUCUCAUCUGUUUUAUCACUUAUGUGAAGCUUUCACCAUGGUUUUGCUGUAGAAUUGUUGAUCGGUUCGAGCUGCCACACAAUGAAUCGCUUUGAGCUACUUUCUUCUCAACUCAGAAGCUCAUUGAUAAGAACCAGAAAUCUGAAUCGGAAGAAAACGAUAGAAUUCUUGGUGUACUUUUCGAGCCAUCGAUAGCUCACUUGACACAGAAAGUUCUUAAGCUUUUGGCUGUUUCUACUCCACUCAUAUUACUCGGAACUGACCCUGCUUUUGCGUUUUUUUCAAAUUCCAUAGUCAUUGGUUACUUCUCUUGGAGACUUCGGAGACAACAUAACUUAGGUUUUGCUUCGGCCUUCUUGCUUAUCUUUUCUCUGAACCUGGAGACAAGACUUUCUUAAGUGCGGUAAGACCUUGAGCUUGAGAUUUUAUUUUAUGCAUUACAAACUCCAUGUUAUUAGACAGGUUAUUGACUGUUAAAAGGUUUCAUGAGUUUGUUUAGACUCUUUUAGCAGCAAGGAAUAACGCUGCUACUGUUUUCGCUGAGACUUUGGUACUCUUGGGUAUGCUUUCUCUCUCAAACAGAGGCGUUACGUCAUGUCUGAAACAAAUAAUUGUGGUGAUUUUGCAUGUUAAUGACGAUAACAUGGCGGUGGAUGUAUCCACAGUAAUGCCAGGAUAGAAGCCAUCAUUGCACAUAAAUUUGCUGGUUCCUUUGCCUUGUCGAAGAGAAGGCAUUCACUGGCCUCUCCAUCUCCAAAAUAUUGCGGCUAGUAACUAUUGUUUUCUUUUGACUCCUUUAGUAGAUUAAAAUUUGACAUGUUUUUAAUAUAUUCAACUAUACAUUAGUGUCCAUGUUCGUAAUAUAUUUCAAUAUAUGUUAAUGGCCAAGUUUGAUUC
Long non-coding RNA from Raphanus sativus (radish), 1525 nucleotides. RefSeq lists it as uncharacterized. The transcript has 3 exons. Lineage: Eukaryota; Viridiplantae; Streptophyta; Magnoliopsida; Brassicales; Brassicaceae. The record is from RefSeq and is a predicted model, not a curated record.